Acinonyx jubatus (cheetah) is the source of this 907-nucleotide long non-coding RNA. RefSeq lists it as uncharacterized. The record is from RefSeq and is a predicted model, not a curated record. NCBI's taxonomy places the organism in Eukaryota, Metazoa, Chordata, Mammalia, Carnivora, Felidae. The transcript has 3 exons.
AGCAACAGCUAAUUUCUAAACAUAAUUAUUAAUUUCAUGCUUAUCAUAUGCAAACCUCUGUCUCCCAGACGAGAUGAAAUUGAUUUAAUUAGAAAUUCCACCAUCAAGCCUUUUGGAUCCAAGCUUUUAAUUAGGAUCACCAACCCCACCCAAGGCUGCCAGAAAGUGGGCCCCUGGCCCCUGCUUCUCUUCCCAAGGCCCCAGGCAGAGCCAGGAUGUGUGGGCACCUCCAGUGUCACCAGAGCUCCACUGGCCAGGCCGGGGUCCCUCGCUGGGACCACUACCCAUGUCCCACCCCACACAGGGUGACACGGCCCCACAGUCACAAGUGGCCUCCUUCUCCUGGCAUCAUAAUGGGGAGACAGCUUGGAGACAACUCACAUCAUCUCAUAGCAGGAAGGACUGGGGUGUUUAAGGUGGGAAGGAGACAGGAGAAAUAACAGACCUCCCCUCCUCAUGCAAAAUUCGCAUGCCAGCUUCCCUUUGGGAGACCCUGCCAGCUCCAUGAAUCCAGGGACCUUUCCUUCAUUCCCCACAGGACGCCCGGCACAGAUUUGGCACAGGGCAGGUGCCCAAUAAGCAAAGGGGCCACUUCGUUCUUGCCACACAAGCAGCCUGAGGACACGCUCCAUGGGGUCGUAAGCACCUCAGACAAGGAGCCCGGGAAAAAAUGGGGCACGAUAAGGCACGGAGGCUGGAGAAGAACAGGGGGCGCAGAGUGGAGGGCCUCGGCCGGCUGACAAAGGAGCCGCUCGGAUGCAGACUCCAAGGAAUUACCGCCGAUAAGAGCACAGGCGGGGGAGCGCGCGGUGCAAGGGCGAGAGCAAACAAGAUCCUCAAUCAGCACUUGUCUUAUUUCAUAAGCAAAAUGUAGAUCAAUAAAUUACACUCACUUGUGCAGGUUUUA